This 7166-nucleotide long non-coding RNA is filed under the name Capsicum annuum. Its description in RNAcentral is "long non-coding RNA (CANN_LNC015567)". The record is from RNAcentral. Lineage: Eukaryota; Viridiplantae; Streptophyta; Magnoliopsida; Solanales; Solanaceae.
GAGCCUUACGAGUAUGGAAGCUCACCACUUCAAGUCAACUCAAGAUGUCCUCAAAUCUAAGUCACUGAGCAGGAGGGGUGAUAGUAUGACCAGUUCCUGCAUCGCAUGGGGAUAUACCGUCGAAUACGAUUAGCAGUUGGAGCACUAGCAUGUAACUCAAGGAUAAGGCUAAAAUAAUGCCAACAUUUCAAAACCAAUCAUCCAAUACAUAUAACCAAUGCAAUACAUACAUAUAUAUACACACACAUACAUAUAUAUAUACAUCAUGCCGGGAUAGGGAAUAGGAUUAGCAUGAGCUUUGAAAAUAUUAACCUGGGAUGUGUAGCAUAACCGUCAAAUAUCAAGGUACCUAUGGUCUAUAUGGGUCCAGCUCUCUCUAGCUGAAAGGCCCCAGUACGUGUAGGCGCACGAACCAAAGAAUAUCCAAAACCGUAUAUGCCUGUAUGGGGGACUCAAACCUCUCAACAUAAUCAAGGUGACUUAAGAACCAAUACAUGUAUUAUGGGGUACUCAAACCGCCCAUUCACAUAUUCAAUCGGGGGACUCGAACCACCCGAUCAUAAAGAUACUCAUACUGCUAGAAUGGUUUCCAGUGUUAGUCCGUUGGACUUCACUUUCACAGCCUGGCUACAUAUCCUACUUUAAAGUCCAAUUUAAAAUCAUCAUUUCACAUACACAACAAUUAAGCCAAUUACUUACCAAAGGCACUCUGUUAGUAUCGUCAUACCAGCACCACUUGUAAGCGUAGCACAUUCCAUUACCAUUGUCAAUCAACCAAUCAUUUAUUUGACUUUAGGACUCGAACCUAUUGUCUAACAAAGGCACUAAUUCAAUUCAAAGUUUAGGGACUCGAACCCAUUAUCUAGUAAAGACAUAUAUCAAUUUAAUGUUUAGGGACUCAAACCCUUUUAACCAAUUAAACUACCAAGGUUACCAUUUAAAUCAUUACCUGGCCAACAAGGCCUUCACAAAAUCAUUUACCAACCAUUCAUAUUCAUUAGGCCAGUACCUUAGUUCAAAACACCAUUUAACACAUGACUAGUUCAUUCUCUUAGACAUUUUCACAAACAUAUCGAGGGCAUACCAUUACCAAGACCAAAAUCAAAGUAAAAACCAUCAAGUUUGGGUUUAACCAUGAUCUAAUUGUUAAACUACAAUUACCAAGCACCCACACGUGCAAAACUGUCAUUAAAAUAUCUGUAAAACCAAUUUAAACCAAGAGUAAACCAUUCUCAACAAUUUGCAACAAAACCCUCAACAUUGGUUUCCAAAACCACCCUUAAUGAAUCAUAAACAAAGCUUUAAACACAUAAUUUUUACUAACUAACAAUGAGGGAAGAGUCAUAUGCCUUAUUCACGAAGAUUCACAGAAAGAACUUGACUCUUGAGGUUCUAGAUGAACACUUGAAGAAAACCCUAGCCCUAUCUUCUUGAGAGAGUUUAGAGAGAUCUUAAAGAGUGAUUUGAUUUUUUAAAGUGUGUUACGAGAGGAUACAAUGUGUUUUAAGACAUGGGGUCUUAAGGGUUAUGGGGUAGGAAAUAUCUAAAAUGUCCUCAAUAUAAAAGUUGAAAAAUGUGUGUAGGAAGGUACAACUCCCCUCUAACUCGUACACACAACAUACGAGUGGUACCCACCACUCAUACCUUAGACAUAAUGUUGGACUCCAAUCCUGUCCAACAUACGAUUUCAUUGGCUAACUCGUAUCACUAAUACCCUAGACAACCUACCAAGAUCUUGACACACUGAGUAACAUACGAGUGGUUUUACCCACUCGUACAAUCUCCAUACAACUCGUAUGGUGUCCAUUUGUACCUUGGACAGUAACCAACCAAAAUCAUAUUGAGUAACAUAUGACCAAGACCCCUAAACCGUACCCACAUCAAACGACAAGUAAGUACAACCGAUGAAUGAUCACCCGCACACUUCCUCAACAUAAAGACAUAAAAAACUAGAUGAAUGGAUCUCAAGUUAGAAGGCAACUCUAACUCAUAGGUAACAUUACCAACCCUCUUCAAAACCAAAUACGUACCAACACACCGAGGACUAAUCUUUCCUUUCUUACCAAACUGCAUCACUCUCUUCAUGGGAGACACCUUUAGGAAUACCCAAUCGCCAACCUUAAAUUCUAACUCCCUACGCCUCAUAUUAGCAUAGGAUUUUAGCAACUUUGAGCAUCUUUCAACCUAUCGCAAAUUACUUUCACCUUUUCCAAGGCUUGGUGAACCAAAUAAGGGCCAAACAACUUACCCUUACAAACCUCAUACUACCCAAUAGGAGAACAACAUCUUUUACCAUACAACGCCUCAAAAGGAGCCAUACCAAUGCUAGAGUGAUAACUAUUAUUAUAAGCAAGCUUUAUAAUAGGCAAAUGGUCAACCCAACUACCAGCAUAGUCAAUCAUACAAGCACGAAGCAUAUCCUCCCGUUUUAUCUCUUUACGGAUUUCUUUUGGUGAGAAAAUAGUUUUUACCCUCUCAAAACUAUUUCAAAAGUUUCAAAAAAAAAUCAAAAUAAUAAGAAAUUUCACAGAGUCCCCAGUUGAUUUUUAUAGAAAAAAUUUAAAAGAGUUUCAAAGGUUCAAAAAUAGAAAUAAACCUUUAAAACUAGAGAUAAUGGGUUAGGGUUCAAUUAACGCCCCAAGAAGGUUUUUAAGGCACUUAGGUGCUUCUAUUUAAAACAUUGUACCAAAUAAGAACUAACUUGACUAAUUAAAGUGGCUAAUUUUUGUAAAGACUCGAUUUUAUAGAAUAUAUUAAAAUUAUUUAUUUAAAUAUUUAAAAAUGAUAUUUAUUUAUUCAAAGGAGAAAAUAAGUUAUUUGAAUUGAACUAAAUUGUAACUUUCCGGACUUAAGAGAAAAAUGAUUUUGCUUUCGUGGAGAAAGAAAAGAUUACGAGAUUAUUUUCUUAUUAUUAAUUAUUAUAAAAAAAGUCAAUUAGGUUAUAGAUAAUACCUUUGGAAAAAAUAUUAAGAGAGUAAAAACAGCUUCGCUAAUUUUUGAAGAGUUCAUUUUCAAAACAAAUUAGUUUAUUAGACUUAGAGAUUAGUUUCAUAGGUUUUGGAGAAAAUUAUUUUAUCCAAAUAAAUGAUUAAUCAUAUGAACAAAAUAAAUGUUGUGAAUAAAAUACUUAAUCUUUAGAAGACUUGUUUUAAAGAGAAAAUGGAAGGAACCAAUUUAAUUCAUUUUAAAACAAUGUAAAAUUAUGUGAAGAAAUUAUAGAUUAAGUGAAAGAAAACUAAGAUAAAACAAAAUUAUAACACUUUAAGGGGUUUAUCUAGGUUAAUUGAUUAAAAGGCUAGUUAACACGAAUAAACAAGGGCAAAAUUCAGAAAUAACAUACUUAUCUCCUUAAUUAUGAGUUUCAUAGAAAAAGUUUCAUAAUUACAUAAUAUAACAAGUUGUAUUUUGCAAACUGUUGCUACAAAAAUACAAAUACAUAUGAUUUUUACUGCCCUUAUGAUCGAUAUGUAUUUUGUAUUUUUGCAAACUAUUGCUACAAAAAUACAAAUACAUAUGCUACAAAAUGUAAUUUUAUUAAAGUAUUAUUAUUUUUUAUAAUUUAAUACGUAAGUAUGCUACUUCAUGUAUUUUUUUCAAUAAACAAUACAAGCUACAAAAAUAAUACAAGAAUUGAAAUUGGGCCCUUAGUUAGCCCAUCAAUAAAACUGUCCAGCUUUUGGGCCAUUCUUUAUGGACUUUUGAUCCAUUUCUGCAGUGUAUACCCAGUUGUAUACUAACUGUAUAUCACAACUAGUGGUGUACAAACCAAACCAUCAAGUCAAACUGAGAAAAAAAUCGACUUAUAAUUUGGUUUGAUUGAUUUUGACUUUAGCAAAAAAAUUCGACCAUUCUUGGUUUGGUUUGGUGUUAACAAAAAAAAGUCAAAUCGAACCCGAAUCAAACACACACACACACAUAUAUAUAUAAUAUCCAAACUUUUUUAUACAUAAAACAUUAAUUAUAAUCUACUUUUUAAAUACUUUUCAAUAAUAUGAAAGUAGAUGUAGAUAUAUACAUAUAAAGUAGCAUACUUAAUAUUAAAUUACAAAAAAUAGCAACACUUUUAUCAAAUUACAUUUUGUAGCAUAUGUAUUUGUAUGUAUUUGUAUUUUUGUAGCAACAGUUUGCAAAAAUACAAAAAUACAUUUCAUCAUAAGGGCAAUAAAAAUCAUAUAUAUUUGUAUUUUUGUAGCAACAAUUUGUAAAAAUAUAAAAUACAACUUGCUAUAUUAUAUAAUUAUGAAAUUGUUGGUAUGAAACUCAUAAUUAAAGGGAUAAAUAUGCUAUUUUUGAAUUUUGCCCUAUAUAUAUUUAGAUUUGGAUCUUUAAAUUGUAAUAUUUGUUCAUUAAUUGCUAAUUAAAUAAUCAAAAAUCCAAUAUAAACUUAAAACCUAAACUUUUCGCUCUUCAUCUCACUUUUUAAUUUCAAGUGAGUUUUACACUCCUCAUUUUUUCAUAAUUAUGGCUUUUCAUUAGCACAUGAGUGAAAACAUAUUUGAUCUAGUCUUCGAUCACAAUAUAAUUGUAAAAACUAAAUAUUAUAAAAAAAAUUCAAACAAACCGAAAAAUCAAAAACCCCAAAAAAAUCGACUAAAACCUAAAUCGAAAAAAUCAAUUUUAUGUUGGUUUGAUUUAAUUUAUAGUUUUAAUAAACCGACAUGAUUGAUUUGAUUUUUUUUGUAAUAAAAACUGAACUAACCCGACCUAUGUACACCCCUAAUCACAGCCCUUCACCCUUGUGUUUUUGUGUAUAUUUCCAUGUAUAUACUGUAUACCAAUGUAGAAAUCAGCAUAUUCUCUCUCCAUAUUUCAUUCUACACUGUAGAUGGUAUGCAGCUACGACUUCCAGUGUAUACACACUGUAUAUCAGCGUAUAGCAGCCUGUAUACGUGUGCUAUCCUGUGUAUAUCAGUCCGAAUUUGGAUUCCAUGAGGCUUGACUCGACGGACAUCGAAUGCGAAGAAAUGGGGAGUCCGAUCGGCCUCGUUCAGGAGGGUUCAUGCAAAAUAAAGAAAGGAUAAGGAUUAGAACUUACUAGAUUAGAAGCAAAUUAUCGUAUGUAAUCAAAUCAUUGGACCGAAUUGUGUUGAAACAAGAAUUGAUCUCGGUUUAGGAAAAACACAUGUUUGUUGGUAACUAUCAUUUUUAUCUUAAAUUCAUAUGCUUAAGUCUAAGGAAUUUAGAAGAGGCAGUGAUGAACCCAUGAAAACAACUUUGAACCGAACCUGGGCGAAAGACAAAUUUUAAAAGAAACAAGGUUCCCUUUUGUUAACUUCCACAAAGAGAUGAUACUGAUUCUUUCCAAGUCUCAGAAAUCAUAGGAAAUUCCUUGGAAUUUGAGUAGCCCACGUCUCACGCAAAUGUGUGCAGUGGUUAUAUCUCACACAUGCCUCUUUAAAUGUAGAAUUUUCAGAUGAAGACAAUGAAUGAUCUACGUCUCAUUUAUGUCAAGAUCAACUAGAACUAUGUGGAGAGCAAUUGUAUGGUCUAGAAUUGAGUAAAGUAAUAGGUAACCUGUAUCAUCAAGAACAAGAAUUGAACAAACGUACAAAUUAGAAUAAAACUUAAGUUAUCAUCCAUAGUGUUUAUCAAUGACUUUAGAUUAAAAGGGACAAACAAAUUUCAAAUUAAGUAAGGCCCUUCAAGUUUUUUAAAUUAGAUGGACAGAAUAAAAUUUUUUUGAGGUUUUUAUAAAAGUUUUUUCGUUCCAACAAUUUCUUCAUGUUGUUGAACAACUUUGAUAGUUGUUCGACAACUUUGUGAAGUUGUUCAACAACUAUCAAAGUUGUUCGACAACUUCUCCCAGUUGCCAAACAACAGCACGAAGUUGUUCGUAAACUUUGCGAAGUUGAGACAAUUAGUACAAUUAUCGAACAACUAUUUCAAUUGUUCAAGGGACUAUUUUUUUUAACUUUAUAAGAUUAUGGGACCUAUUUAUCCCCUUGUUUUAAUUAAAGGCCUGAGAGGUCUAUGAACUCAUUUUUCUCCUGUUCUUUAAUAUGUUGUUUAAGUUUUAUUUUUAUUAGAUUGUAGUGCUGACAUAUACCAUUAGCAUCUUGGGAUAUACUGCAAACAGAAUGGAGUUCAGGAACCAACCAACAAACUUUUUAAGAUAAGCCACUCCAAGAACAUUGAUGAAAAAGAUAUCAAGAAAUAAAUUUGUUGAACAGGACCAACUAUUUAUUCAAAACCCAACAAUGAAAUUACGCUAAAUAUUAGUCUUAACAAAAAUCAGGGGUGACACCAAAUGACUGAACGACGAAUUAUAACGAUCAACAAACUAACGACUGAAACAAAACUAACAUAAAUGAAGUAAGAUGAGGAACGACUAAUUACCUUUCUCCGGGUAGAAACAAGGACGGACGAGCUUAUAACGAUGAAGCUUCCACCAGCAAAAUCUAAUUCAACUCAACCGAGUUCAAACAAGUUCGUUGGAGUUAUCGUUUCGAAUUCUUCGGUUACGUGGGAUUAUUCUCCAAAAUCCUCAAUUUUUCCCCAAAAAAUCCUCCUCCUUAUUCACUCUACAUAUGUGGGUAUUUAUAGGUGAUUCGGGACUAAUUUGGGGGGAAACAAAUAAGAAAUCGAUGAUAAAAAAUUUGAAAUUCAAACUCAAAGUAAUCGUAACCGUCCGCAUUCAUACGAAAUCGAUUUUGAGAAAAAUUAGGAUUAAUAGCUAUUGUUGUUGACUUCUCGUUUUGGUUCUUGGUGUGGGGUCGCUGUUGUUGCAGCUGUUAUCGUUGUCGUUUGUGGAAGUUGUGUUUCCGUCGGGUCGGGUGCGGGUUGAUCGGGUUUUGUAUUGAAAUUGUUGCUGGUUGUACGGUUUUUGGUUGGAGCUGUUAUUAACGUCGCUGCUUUGCCGGGAUUGUAACGAAGGUGUUGCUGAACUUGUUUGGUUGAUUUUGUUGUUUGCUGUUAACGCUGUUGAGGGGAAGGAGAAAUAAGGUUGUUGGCCGGGUCGUGAAUUGGGCUGGUUGUUGCGGCGGUUUGGAGUGAGCUAUUAAGUAUAUUUGAAAAUUACAUAAAUACACAACUUAUGUUUUUAAUAUUACAAAAAAUUUCAACUCCCUAAAAAUAUUAUAAAAAUUUCAACAUAUAUACAGAAUGCUAUGUAUAUGUUGGCUAUGUUAUGUAUAUUAAUAAGGAGUGAAAGCAAAGUAAUUAAAAAA